GACGAACGCUGGCGGCGUGCUUAACACAUGCAAGUCGAACGGAAAGGCCUUUUCGGAGGUACUCGAGUGGCGAACGGGUGAGUAACACGUGGGUGAUCUGCCCUGCACUCUGGGAUAAGCCUGGGAAACUGGGUCUAAUACCGGAUAGGACCGCACUUUAGUGUGUGUGGUGGAAAGUUUUUUCGGUGUAGGAUGAGCCCGCGGCCUAUCAGCUUGUUGGUGGGGUAAUGGCCUACCAAGGCGGCGACGGGUAGCCGGACUGAGAGGUUGGUCGGCCACAUUGGGACUGAGAUACGGCCCAGACUCCUACGGGAGGCAGCAGUGGCUAAUAUUGCACAAUGGGCGCAAGCCUGAUGCAGCGACGCCGCGUGGGGGAUGACGGCCUUCGGGUUGUAAACUCCUUUCGCCAGGGACGAAGCGUUUUGUGACGGUACCUGGAGAAGAAGCACCGGCUAACUACGUG
This 463-nucleotide ribosomal RNA is filed under the name uncultured bacterium. Its description in RNAcentral is "partial 16S ribosomal RNA". It matches the Rfam family "Bacterial small subunit ribosomal RNA", at positions 28 to 507 of the family's 1533-position model. The record is from RNAcentral.